CCUCCUCCAUUAUCUUAUUUCCACUUAAUCACUUAACUUUAUUUACAAAAAUGAUUAUCUAGAGACACGUGAAAUGGGGCACCUGAGGUCUCACCCCAUCACUAAAAACUGAGUUCCUUCUAACACAUAGCCCAUCCAGAUUGCCGCUAUUAAAGCAUCGAGUCAUGGCAUCCAGAAGCCCUACACCAUGAUGCCCACUC
RNAcentral lists this long non-coding RNA (200 nucleotides) under Elaeis guineensis (African oil palm). RNAcentral describes it as "long non-coding RNA (EGUI_LNC036405)". The record is from RNAcentral. Lineage: Eukaryota; Viridiplantae; Streptophyta; Magnoliopsida; Arecales; Arecaceae.